UCGUCACCGCAGGACAGCUCAGAGAUAAGGAAACUGCCGCGCUAAGGCAGGAACACGAAGGCAGGAGGCGACAGAGCAUCUAGGAGAUGCUGUGACUUGGAGGUUGUUGUUUCUAAUUAUUUAUGGAUAAACCGAAUCCCAGAAAAUUGUUCCGGAUCAUGAAGGUUUUAGUUUUCGAGCUGGAUUUCAGAUCUAGGCGUGUUUAACUUUUCGGGGGACUGGAAUGCAUCCAGGACAUCCACAUCUCUUUCCACUCUGCUGUGUUUUCCAGCCUAGCCCCCCAA
Non-coding RNA from Odocoileus virginianus texanus, 284 nucleotides. Lineage: Eukaryota; Metazoa; Chordata; Mammalia; Artiodactyla; Cervidae. The record is from RefSeq and is a predicted model, not a curated record.